This 415-nucleotide ribosomal RNA is filed under the name uncultured bacterium. RNAcentral's name for it is "bacterial SSU rRNA". It matches the Rfam family "Bacterial small subunit ribosomal RNA", at positions 363 to 776 of the family's 1533-position model. The record is from RNAcentral.
AUUGGUCAAUGGUCGGGAGACUGAACCAGCCAAGCCGCGUGAGGGAGGAAGGUACAGAGUAUCGUAAACCUCUUUUGUCAGGGAACAAAGGCGGGGACGUGUCCCCGGAUGAGUGUACCUGAAGAAAAAGCAUCGGCUAACUCCGUGCCAGCAGCCGCGGUAAUACGGAGGAUGCGAGCGUUAUCCGGAUUUAUUGGGUUUAAAGGGUGCGUAGGCGGAACAUUAAGUCAGCGGUAAAAUUGAGGGGCUCAACCCCUUUAAGCCGUUGAAACUGGUGAUCUUGAGUGGGCGAGAAGUAUGCGGAAUGCGUGGUGUAGCGGUGAAAUGCAUAGAUAUCACGCAGAACUCCGAUUGCGAAGGCAGCAUACCGGCGCCCGACUGACGCUGAGGCACGAAAGCGUGGGGAUCGAACAGG